Diospyros lotus (date-plum) is the source of this 1724-nucleotide long non-coding RNA. RefSeq lists it as uncharacterized. The transcript is spliced from 5 exons. NCBI's taxonomy places the organism in Eukaryota, Viridiplantae, Streptophyta, Magnoliopsida, Ericales, Ebenaceae. The record is from RefSeq and is a predicted model, not a curated record.
GUCAAACUUCAAUUUUCAAUUUAAAAGCCUUUUAAGCCUACUGUACUUCUAUUUGAGUUUGUACCUCUCUAAGCUGAGGAUGGAAAAUAACGAAAUUGGUUGCUUUAUCUAUGAUUAUGAGACUGACUUCUCGACUUGCUCCACAUGCAACUAAUUUGGUCAUAGUAAGUAGUAAAAAAAAAUAAUCAAUAUAAUUGUGAUUCUAUGUCACCAUACUGAAAUAGUAUUAUCAUAAACUUUUAUUAUAUAUCGAUACAAAUCUCCCUUCAGUGAUCAAAAUUGAUUUAUUUGGGUAGCUUAAGAAAUUCCAGUAGUCGUUAUCUGUCUCAUUUGAAUGUAAGCUGUCAUGCGCCGAAGUUGUUUGUAAAAAUGCCUGCCAGAGACAUCACUUCAUGUAUUUUUUUUUGAAUCUUUUGAUCUGAGAUUUUUCCUCUCUUUGCAGUGCAAGCAAUACAGAGAGUACUCAGCAGUGCCUUUGCUUGAAUGGCACAGCUCUCAGCCCUUUUGGGAGGAGGGAAAUGGCAGAACUGAAGCCUGUUUGAAGUAAUGCAGAGCUAUCCACAGAGGUAAUAGACGAAUAGUCUAAUAUAACAAGGAGAGUAUUAUCUACAAACAAGUGAAGUGAUCAAUGCAUAAACAUUUACAUCUAUUGUUACAAUUGAUUCCUAUAUUGGCUUUUAUUUGUAAACCUUUUACAUGAUCUUUAUUUUCCUUUCUUCCCCCUUUCUUUUUUCAUGAACUUGUGUUGAGGUUCGCAGCGAAAAUGCUUUUGAGUUACUUCUCACAGUUUAAGGAGAAACAAAUCACUGUGACUGCUUCUCCCAUUUAUCCAGGUUUGAGUGUACUCUGGUUCUGGAUGAUCAUCUCUUUUAGUGCUUCAGGGUACCUGCAUUUAGCCAUAAAAAUGGCUUCACCAUGCACCAGCCGACCAGGAGUGCGGACAAUGUCUCCUCCUUUGAUUGCUCGCCACCUAACAAUCAGAUGUAAAGUUGGUUGACAGUGGAGAAAAACAACCAUUUGGAGUUUGGCAAAAUCUGUUCCCACACAAAAUCUCAUCCCACCACCAAAGGCCAUGAAAUGUUUGGAGGCGCCAUUCAGUUCCAUUCCCUGUACGUGACAAAAGUAGAGUUUUCAAGAGUAUAAGCAAUACGUGACAGGAUUCAAGUGUACAGAUGGAGGAGAGAUCAUAACAGCCCAACCAGCUGGAAUGGUGUAGCCUGCAUUUAUCCCUGAGUUUAUAUGAAGGUACACGAUGGAUCGAUGUAUCUUAUUCCUAUGAACAAACUCGAACACCAUUGCUAGAUACUAACCGAUUCUUCAUAUAGAUACGAACCUUUGAAGUUGAUUUCUUUUAGUGCUUUUCUGAAAAUUGCUGGAACUAUAUUUGUCAGCCUGACUGUUUCAUUGAUAAACUACAAUUUUGCUUUGAAGUUAGCAUUGCAGAACCACAGGUGGGAAAUUUAUCAAAAUCACUUAUAUGGCCUUUGAAAGGAGUAAGUGAAAUCUGUUGACCUACCCAGGAUGUAAAUAUCAUUGAUUUAUAUUCUUUCCAUGUAAGUCCAGAAUUUGGAUCUUCCCUUCUUCUUAGAAUUGCCUCAUGCUCCUCCUGGGGGGUAUAGAACAUGGCAGUUAGGAGGACAAUGUAAGACAUGAUCGAAACAACAUAUUCUGUUGAAAUGUAUUGUUUUCACCGACCGUUAGUUCCUUCAGCACCAAAGGAUGGU